UGGGGGAUAUUGCACAAUGGGCGAAAGCCUGAUGCAGCGACGCCGCGUGGGGGAUGAAGGCUUUCGGGUUGUAAACCUCUUUCGCUAUCGAACAAGGCCCGCUUAGGGUGGGUUGAGGGUAGGUGGAGAAGAAGCGCCGGCUAACUACGUGCCAGCAGCCGCGGUAAUACGUAGGGCGCGAGCGUUGUCCGGAUUUAUUGGGCGUAAAGGGCUUGUAGGCGGCUUGUUGCGCCUGCUGUGAAAACGCGGGGCUUAACUUCGCGCGUGCAGUGGGUACGGGCAGGCUUGAGUGUGGUAGGGGUGACUGGAAUUCCAGGUGUAGCGGUGGAAUGCGCAGAUAUCUGGAGGAACACCGAUGGCGAAGGCAGGUCACUGGGCCAUUACUGACGCUGAGGAGCGAAAGCAUGGGUAGCGAACAGG
Molecule: ribosomal RNA, 420 nt
Filed under: bacterium
Lineage: Bacteria
Also listed under: 1 other name
Description: partial 16S ribosomal RNA
Rfam family: Bacterial small subunit ribosomal RNA
Source: RNAcentral